ACGCCAAUGGUGAAACGGUUAUCAUGCUUGCCUUCCAUUCCAGAGUAUGUCCGGUCGUUUGAGCAAGCGGUAGGGGUUCGACUCCCCUUCGGCGUA
This 96-nucleotide transfer RNA is filed under the name Armillaria gallica. It matches the Rfam family "tRNA". From Rfam's summary of the family: Transfer RNA (tRNA) molecules are approximately 80 nucleotides in length. The record is from Rfam by way of RNAcentral. Lineage: Eukaryota; Fungi; Basidiomycota; Agaricomycetes; Agaricales; Physalacriaceae.